Melanotaenia boesemani (Boeseman's rainbowfish) is the source of this 111-nucleotide long non-coding RNA. RefSeq lists it as uncharacterized. Lineage: Eukaryota; Metazoa; Chordata; Actinopteri; Atheriniformes; Melanotaeniidae. The transcript is spliced from 3 exons. The record is from RefSeq and is a predicted model, not a curated record.
UUUAGCUGAUGAAACAGUGCUUUUUCAAUGAGCUUACUUAGAUAAGGACGAUUUGAGAUCAGCCUGUAGGUGCUCAUUUGUGUCUUGUCUAGAUUCUCUGUGUAGCCGAGG